GCUAAACUGCAGCUGCUAUAAAAGUGUCAGUGUCCCUGUGCCAUAUUAAUGAUCUGUAUGUGUCACAGUGCAUAGAUAGAGACAUGUCUUAUCCCACUUAUCUACUGCUGCUGCUGCUACUGGGGAUCCUCCUGAUCUUUAUCCAAGGUUCCUAUGGGCAGAUUGUACUGACUCAGUCUCCAGAUUAUGUCUCUGUGUCACCAGGAGAAACUGUCACCCUCACAUGUAAAGCCAGUAGCAGUGUUACUGACGAUGAUGGAGACAGUGCUAUAGCCUGGUACCAACAGAAAUCGGGGCAGGCACCAAAGCUGCUGAUCUAUGCUGCAAACACCCGACACACAGGGAUCCCAGAGCGGAUCAGCGGCAGUGGGUCUGGAACUGAUUUCACUCUUACAAUCAGCAGAAUGGAAGCAGAAGAUGCAGCAGAUUAUUACUGUCAGCAGUAUGAAGAGUUCCCUCUCACACAGUGAUACAGAGCUGAACAAAAACCUCCUUCCUCUUUCUAUAGAAGCUUCAGUUACACACACUGUAUAACAUCUUACUGAGAUAUCAGACUUCUUACUCUGCUGCCCUCCUGGCUAAGGGGUUGAUGGUAAUUAUUGAGAAACCAAUUUAUUUUGCCUCGUGUGGGUGCUCAUAUGGGCUCUGGGAGCCGCCUGAUUAAUUUCUCUUCUAUAGUAAAAAUGGGGAAGUAUUGAGCAGUGAAUGGGUUUCAACAUUUACAUUUAGAGGCACAUUUUUCAAAGGUCAAAUUUCGAAUUCAUGUGAGUUUUUUUUUAACUC
Xenopus laevis (African clawed frog) is the source of this 783-nucleotide non-coding RNA. NCBI's taxonomy places the organism in Eukaryota, Metazoa, Chordata, Amphibia, Anura, Pipidae. The record is from the annotation of a RefSeq genome assembly.